RNAcentral lists this transfer RNA (69 nucleotides) under Strongylogaster xanthocera. RNAcentral describes it as "tRNA-Met". The record is from RNAcentral. Lineage: Eukaryota; Metazoa; Arthropoda; Insecta; Hymenoptera; Tenthredinidae.
AAAAAGAUAAGCUAAUUAAGCUAUUGGGUUCAUACCCCAUUUAUAUAAAUAUAAAUUUUAUUCUUUUUA